UGGUAUAGUCAUCGAGAUCCAUAGUCAAUGUUUCUCUGUUUUCAUGCACCAACAACAGAUUAAACUCGUGGGUCUUUGCUUCUCCUUCUGCAACUUCUCUCUUAUGAUUCUAUUCAGGUUUCUGUUUCCCGGAUAUUGAAGAUAAAGACUUUAGAAAUGAUAGGCUCGGGUAUUUGCUGAGGUGAGAUUUUUUUGCGGCUUUCAGAGUUCGUGUAACCGCAAGUUCAUGGAACUAAAGAGC
This 241-nucleotide unclassified non-coding RNA is filed under the name Hevea brasiliensis (rubber tree). The record is from RNAcentral. Lineage: Eukaryota; Viridiplantae; Streptophyta; Magnoliopsida; Malpighiales; Euphorbiaceae.